UUUCCUUCCACCACUAACCUACCGGAGUACUUAUGAAGUCUCUCGCAGAUUAACUUUUGAUACGCGUCCUCAGUCUCUGUGCUAGCACCGAUUCGUACAUGUGCGACGUAACACGUUCGUCGCCGAUUAUUAAAUUUGUAUUAGCGCCGGCGAAUUGCCCGUAAAGCGUAAUUUGACUGGUAACUCGAGGUGAAGGCAUUACGGGUAGAGAAUCACGGUAUAUGUAUAUAUAUACGUGGAACAAAGAGGAAUUCUGGUGUAAAGAAGAGGAAAAGAGAGAGAGAGAGAAGAGAGGAACACGGAGUGAGCUGCAUCGAGUUGGACGAAGAACGAAUCAACAUUUUUAGUUGCAUUUUGGGACAAUACUAAGAACACCUAGUAUCAAGGAUGCAUCUCUCAGCAUCGUUCUUCUUUAUCAUAGUAUGCGUUCUAUUUCGCUCGACAGUCGGCAUCACAGAAAUGGUUAACUAUGAUAGUGUCUAUUUUCCUGACCAAGCGGAUUACAUCAAGAUCGCUACAAAAUGCAAAGAUAACAUGAUAUUGUGGCCAGGAAACCGUCGAUGUUACAAGGAAGGCGAGCAAGGUCCCUGCAAUGUCGGUCGGGUACUGGUUUUCGAUCGUCGGUCAUGGAAACCAUAUUGCAAAGAUCUUGUAUUUUAAGGUAUAUCUUUAUACAGAAAGAAACGUAGCCAACUGGCGAUAUGUAAUUAUUAUAUACGCAGCUUGGUAUAGAUGACGGUAACGGCUGUAAAUUUCCUGAACAUGUAUCAUGGAAGAAAACGCCGUGUUCCGUUGAGACUCAAUUCUAUCUGACGCAGACAAAAGUAUUUGUUAAAGUAAAACGCUUAACUAUUUCCCCAAAUGCAAAUAUAAAUAUUAUAUUUGUUUACUGUCUAUUCGAUGCAAGCAGUUACAUUUUAUAAAAAUAAUAUUCUGCAAUAAUAAAGAAAACUAUAUCAAAUACCGUACUUGCGUUAUGGAAAUUUGUAUUUUUUCUAUAAACAAGAUUUGUAAUCUAUUAUAAAAAAAAAAUGUAAAAAAAAUUAAAUUUAAAAUUAGUUGCAUAAUUAAUACAAGGUAUUUGAAAUUUUAUUAAAGUAUGGGAACUUAUUUAAUGUAAUGGGAAUUUAUUUAAUGUAAUGUACAGGACAGUGUUGAUUUUGUAUCAAGCUUAUAGAGUAAACAUUUUGUCUGAAAUAAUCUUGUCUCUUUUAGUUAGUUGCAUUUAUUUAUUUAUAAUGCUCAUUCUGUAUGCGCAUGUAGUUUCUUAAAUAUUAUUUAAAUAUGUUCGUUAUCGCAUUUAGAAAAAUAAUACAUUUUGGUUGAUUGUGUGUGUAUAAAGAUGUGAUCUGUUAUAUUAAACAUUUAUAUCUUGUAUAUAACGUUGUAUAUAUUUUUGCUAUAGUAAAUCCUCGUUUUAAUAUUCUGAUUAUAUAUAUAUCUGAUCGAUCAAUUUUUACUGAAUGCGUUGCUAAAAAAUAUUCAUAAAUAUGUAUGUAUACAUUCAAAAUUGAUAGAAUAAUAUCUAUAUGUGAAAUAAUAUAAGAAAUAAUUUUGUAUGUAUAUAAUUUGUAUGUAUACAAGAAAUAAUUUUGUAUGACCUAUAAUUUCAUAAAUUUUACGUUUGUUUCGAUACUGUUAGCAUUACAAAUGACGGCUUCCUCAUCGAUUUGUACUUAAAUUAAAAAUAUUGUAAACGGUUUUGAUAAAAAAAUUGUUCCUAUUA
This is a long non-coding RNA of Formica exsecta, 1726 nucleotides long. RefSeq lists it as uncharacterized. The record is from RefSeq and is a predicted model, not a curated record. The transcript is spliced from 2 exons. NCBI's taxonomy places the organism in Eukaryota, Metazoa, Arthropoda, Insecta, Hymenoptera, Formicidae.